This 373-nucleotide ribosomal RNA is filed under the name uncultured organism. Its description in RNAcentral is "bacterial SSU rRNA". It matches the Rfam family "Bacterial small subunit ribosomal RNA", at positions 526 to 896 of the family's 1533-position model. The record is from RNAcentral.
CGUAGGGACCAAGCGUUGUUCGGAUUUACUGGGCGUAAAGGGCGCGUAGGCGGCUUGUCAAGUCACUUGUGAAAUCUCUGGGCUUAACCCAGAACGGCCAAGUGAAACUGACAUGCUAGAGUGCAGAAGGGGCAAUCGGAAUUCUUGGUGUAGCGGUGAAAUGCGUAGAUAUCAAGAGGAACACCUGAGGUGAAGACGGGUUGCUGGGCUGACACUGACGCUGAGGCGCGAAAGCCAGGGGAGCAAACGGGAUUAGAUACCCCGGUAGUCCUGGCCCUAAACGAUGAAUACUUGGGGUCUGGAGUUAUUAGUGCUCCGGGUGCCGUCGCUAACGUUUUUAGUAUUCCGCCUGGGGAGUACGCUCGCAAGAGUG